RNAcentral lists this ribosomal RNA (253 nucleotides) under uncultured bacterium. Its description in RNAcentral is "partial 16S ribosomal RNA". It matches the Rfam family "Bacterial small subunit ribosomal RNA", at positions 524 to 776 of the family's 1533-position model. The record is from RNAcentral.
UACGUAGGGUGCGAGCGUUGUCCGGCAUUAUUGGGCGUAAAGCGCUCGUAGGCGGUUUGUCGCGUCGCCUGUGAAAACCUACAGCUUAACUGUGGGCUUGCAGUCGAUACGGGCAGACUUGAGUUCGGUAGGGGAGACUGGAAUUCCUGGUGUAGCGGUGAAAUGCGCAGAUAUCAGGAGGAACACCGGUGGCGAAGGCGGGUCGCUGGGCCGAUACUGACACUGAGGAGCGAAAGCGUGGGGAGCGAACAGG